Chinchilla lanigera (long-tailed chinchilla) is the source of this 1092-nucleotide long non-coding RNA. RefSeq lists it as uncharacterized. Lineage: Eukaryota; Metazoa; Chordata; Mammalia; Rodentia; Chinchillidae. The record is from RefSeq and is a predicted model, not a curated record. The transcript is spliced from 3 exons.
ACCCUGAUGGCCUCGUUAUUUUUGACACAAACAGAACUCUCAGAUUUUUUUGAGACUUGCCUUUGGUUCAGGAUGUUCUCUUUGAGGCUCGAGGAUACAUAAGGAUUAGGAAACGGGUGCUCCAGUGUAACGAAAAGAAUGCAGUGGAAGGAUGGAAAUGAUCUCUAGUCCCAAACCCCUGUGUGUGUUUUAGACCAUCACAUGUGAAAGGGCUGCUGAUUAAGGCUGUAAAAUAUUUACAUGAUUGUGGCUUGUUUUAUAAAGUAGAGGUUGGGGGCACUUCAUUAACCAGCUUCAUUUCUUGGUACAGCCUACUACAAUUUCCUUGAAUGCUUAGAUUUGAUACACAGUUAAAGAAUACAGUACUUGCCUGCAUUAUUUCCUGAAGGUUGGUGCCUCUGUUAAUAACGCAGGAGGGCUGCGUUAUUGAAGACCGGGAGAAUAUGUUUGUCUGGAGAAGGUCGCCGCUGUUAGAGGCCAUUUAUCUCUCUUCUGGGCCCCUCAUUUGGAGCAGCCACAGUUCUGAAGGAACCACACACACAACGCUCCAACAGCAAUUCAGAAAUUUCCGCCAAAUAGAGACAUAGUGGAGUGUCGUCAUUCACCUUAUUCGCUGGAUCAGGCACUGUGCAACUUCUGAGUCUUCCCCCAAAGUCAAAAUGACCACAAAAGCAGAUCUUUCUACUGUGCUGUUUCUGCCGUGGAGCCAGCCAGCUAUGGACAGAAACUUCUGAAACUAUGAGCCCCAGUGAACCUCUCCUGUAAGUUGUCAUGUCGUAUAUUGUGUCCCAGUGAUGACAAAAGUGACCAAGACAGUAGUCUUCAAAAUCAAAAAUUUGAAGGAGAAGAAAGUAAACAUCCAUGAAUCCUAGAUUAACUUUGACGUCUUUCAUUGGUGCCUCUUUUACCUUGAAUGAAAUCUAAACUGCCUCCUCCCAGACCAGGCUCUCCUGCUAUCAUUCUGCCUCUCCUGUGUUUCAUCUAUGUGCCUUUUUUCUGUCCUUGCUCUUCUCUGAUGGCAUGGACCUCUCUGCGCCUUAAAGCUGUGCUCUCACUGCUCUCCACUGAAUGACUCGUUCAGCUCAAAAGUCA